This 383-nucleotide ribosomal RNA is filed under the name uncultured eukaryote. RNAcentral's name for it is "partial 18S ribosomal RNA". It matches the Rfam family "Eukaryotic small subunit ribosomal RNA", at positions 592 to 976 of the family's 1831-position model. The record is from RNAcentral.
CAAUAGCGUAUAUUAAAGUUGUUGCGGUUAAAAAGCUCGUAGUUGGAUCUCGGCAGGCAGGGGGUGGUUCGCUCUUAGCGCUACUGCCCCAUUUGCCUGUGUGAUUGGCGGAGGUUUCGGGGUGCUCUUCGUUGAGUGACCCGGGGCGCCGUCAGGUUUACUUUGAAAAAAUUGGAGUGCUCAAAGCAGGCUUUUCACGCUUGAAUAUUCGUGCAUGGAAUAAUGGAAUAGGAACUCGUUUCUAUUUUGUUGGUUUUCGGAAAUCGAGUUAAUGAUUAAUAGGGACAAUUGGGGGCAUUAGUAUUCAGACGACAGAGGUGAAAUUCUUGGACCGUCUGAAGACUAACUACUGCGAAAGCACUUGCCAAGAGUGUUUUCAUUAA